GGGCAUAAGAGAUGCCUGGAAUGAAUCCAUUCCAGCCACAGCACUUGGGGAGCAGAAUCAGGUCACCUCCACCAUGGCCUGGACCCCUCUCCUCCUAGGCCUUCUUGCUCACUUCACAGCUUCUUUGGCUUCCUAUGUGCUGACUCAGCCUCCAUCUGUGUCAGUGGCCCUGGGACAGACAGCCCAGGUCACCUGUGGGGGAAACAACAUUGGAAAUAAAAAUGUUUACUGGUACCAGCAGAAGUCAGGCCAGAGUCCUGUGCUGAUCAUCUAUUUUAGCAGCAGCCGGCCCUCAGGGAUCCCUGAGCGAUUCUCAGGCACCAACUCUGGGAACACUGCCACCCUAACCAUCAGUGGGGCCCAGGCCGAGGACGAGGCUGACUAUUACUGUCAGUCCUAUGAUAGCAGUGAUUAUGGGAUACUGAGGCACAGCCCCUAUGACCUGCUGCAAGAGAUCACAGCCAAAAACAGACAUUUACAGCACUGUGAUGGCUUUGGAAAUGCCAUGAGCUAUUCCUAG
Molecule: non-coding RNA, 520 nt
Organism: Lutra lutra (Eurasian river otter)
Lineage: Eukaryota; Metazoa; Chordata; Mammalia; Carnivora; Mustelidae
Source: the annotation of a RefSeq genome assembly